This 322-nucleotide ribosomal RNA is filed under the name uncultured eukaryote. RNAcentral describes it as "partial 18S ribosomal RNA". It matches the Rfam family "Eukaryotic small subunit ribosomal RNA", at positions 1470 to 1796 of the family's 1831-position model. The record is from RNAcentral.
CCCUUAGACGUUCUGGGCCGCACGCGUGCUACACUGAGUGGAUCAGCGGGUCAGGUUGCGCGAAAGUGUUUCCUAAUCUUUAAAUCCGCUCGUGAUGGGGAUUGACGGUUGCAAUUUUCUGUCAUGAACGAGGAAUACCUUGUAAGCGCGGGUCAUCAUCCCGCGCUGAAUACGUCCCUGCCCUUUGUACACACCGCCCGUCGCUCCUACCGAUUGAGUGGUCCGGUGAGGCUUUGGGAUCUGAGCGGAAAGAGCGUUUCGCUGUUUCUGCUCGGAAAACUCAGUCGAACCUUAUCAUUUAGAGGAAGGAGAAGUCGUAACA